Molecule: ribosomal RNA, 297 nt
Filed under: 2,4-D-degrading bacterium TFD6
Lineage: Bacteria; Pseudomonadati; Pseudomonadota; Betaproteobacteria; Burkholderiales
Description: partial small subunit ribosomal RNA
Source: RNAcentral
CCGGUGCUUAUUCUUCCGGUACCGUCAUCCCCCACGGGUAUUAACCACGAGGUUUUCUUUCCGGACAAAAGUGCUUUACAACCCGAAGGCCUUCUUCACACACGCGGGAUUGCUGGAUCAGGCUUGCGCCCAUUGUCCAAAAUUCCCCACUGCUGCCUCCCGUAGGAGUCUGGGCCGUGUCUCAGUCCCAGUGUGGCUGGUCGUCCUCUCAGACCAGAUACAGAUCGUCGGCUUGGUAGGCCUUUACCCCACCAACUAGCUAAUCUGCCAUCGGCCGCCCCUGUAGGCGAGGUCCCU